RNAcentral lists this ribosomal RNA (1037 nucleotides) under uncultured Neocallimastigales. RNAcentral's name for it is "partial large subunit ribosomal RNA". The stretch from base 255 to 1037 matches the Rfam family "Eukaryotic large subunit ribosomal RNA", at positions 1 to 647 of the family's 3401-position model. Lineage: Eukaryota; Fungi; Neocallimastigomycota; Neocallimastigomycetes; Neocallimastigales. The record is from RNAcentral.
CUAUACAUGACUCUGCGCAUAUCAAUAAGCGGAGGAAAAGUCAACUACCUACGCUUAGGAUGUUGACGAGACUGUCGAUCUCAUCUAUACAUGACUCUGCGCAUAUCAAUAAGCGGAGGAAAAGGCUGCGGAACUGAACGACCGCUACCUACGCUUAGGAUGUUGACGAGACUGUCGAUCUCAUCUAUACAUGACUCUGCGCAUAUCAAUAAGCGGAGGAAAAGUACCUACGCUUAGGAUGUUGACGAGACUGUCGAUCUCAUCUAUACAUGACUCUGCGCAUAUCAAUAAGCGGAGGAAAAGAAACUAACAAGGAUUCCCCUAGUAACGGCGAGUGAAGCGGGAAGAGCUCAAAUUUGAAAUCUUAAAGGGUUUCCCUUUACGAAUUGUAGUUUAAAGAAGUGUUUUCUGUUGGAGUUUCGGUAAAAGUUCUUUGGAAUAGGACAUCAUAGAGGGUGAGAAUCCCGUAUUUGACCGUUACUUUCCAGCUGUGUGAUACACUUUCAACGAGUCGGAUUGUUUGGGAAUGCAGUCCAAAAUGGGUGGUAAAUUUCAUCUAAAGCUAAAUAUUGGCGAGAGACCGAUAGCGAACAAGUACCGUGAGGGAAAGAUGAAAAGAACUUUGAAAAGAGAGUUAAACAGUACGUGAAAUUGUCAAAAGGGAAGCGUUUGACACCAGUGUUGUUUUUCCGAAAAUCAAUUACGAAUGUUUUGUUUUUGAGAAGUUAUGACUUCAUCGGCUUGCUUCUCUCUUUACGAAACUUUCUUAAUGCACUUUUCGGUUAACAAGUCAACAUCAAUUUCUUUUGUUGUAAAAGGGUAUGAGGAAGGUGGCUUUCUUUUCGGAGAAAGUGUUUAUAGCCUUGUGCCUCUGCAAUCGGAGAGAUUGAGGUCUGCAGCGUAGAUCCUUCGGGGUUAGAUACAUUUGUGCUAAGUUAUAGCUUUUCAUAGACAACUUGUUGACUAUGUUUAGUCUUGUAGCUUACUCGCUUAUGCUAUUUUACCUACGUUAGGAUGUUGACGAGACUGUCGAUCUC